UGGGGGAUAUUGCACAAUGGAGGAAACUCUGAUGCAGCGACGCCGCGUGAGGGAAGACGGUCUUCGGAUUGUAAACCUCUGUCUUAGGGGAAGAAAAUGACGGUACCCUAAGAGGAAGCUCCGGCUAACUACGUGCCAGCAGCCGCGGUAAUACGGAGGACCCGAGCGUUAUCCGGAUUUAUUGGGUUUAAAGGGUGCGUAGGCGGAUUAAUAAGUUAGAGGUGAAAGCUCGGCGCUCAACGUCGAAAUUGCCUCUAAUACUGUUAGUCUAGAGUAUAGUUGCGGAAGGCGGAAUGUGUGGUGUAGCGGUGAAAUGCUUAGAUAUCACGAAGAACUCCAAUUGCGAAGGCAGCUUGCUGGACUGUUACUGACGCUGAGGCUCGAAAGUGUGGGUAUCAAACA
Molecule: ribosomal RNA, 402 nt
Filed under: uncultured bacterium
Lineage: Bacteria
Description: bacterial SSU rRNA
Rfam family: Bacterial small subunit ribosomal RNA
Source: RNAcentral